Molecule: ribosomal RNA, 114 nt
Filed under: Acanthosepion pharaonis
Lineage: Eukaryota; Metazoa; Mollusca; Cephalopoda; Sepiida; Sepiidae
Source: RNAcentral
UUACGGCCACAUCAGGUUGAAACACCUGUUCCCGUACAAUGACCGAAGUUAAGCAACCUCGAGCCUGGUCAAUACCUAGAUAGGUGACCGCUUGGGAAUAACAAGUGCUGUAAG